GCGGGUAUGGUUCAAUGGCAGAACAUUUGCUUCCCAAGCAAAGGACCCGAGUCCGAUUCUCGGUACCCGCA
RNAcentral lists this transfer RNA (71 nucleotides) under Candidatus Kaiserbacteria bacterium RIFCSPHIGHO2_01_FULL_53_31. Its description in RNAcentral is "tRNA-Gly". It matches the Rfam family "tRNA". From Rfam's summary of the family: Transfer RNA (tRNA) molecules are approximately 80 nucleotides in length. Their secondary structure includes four short double-helical elements and three loops (D, anti-codon, and T loops). The record is from RNAcentral. RNAcentral also lists the same sequence under 1 other name. Lineage: Bacteria; Candidatus Kaiseribacteriota.